UACGAAGGGGGCUAGCGUUGCUCGGAAUUACUGGGCGUAAAGCGCACGUAGGCGGCUUGUUAAGUCAGGGGUGAAAUCCUGGAGCUCAACUCCAGAACUGCCUUUGAUACUGGCGAGCUUGAGUUCGGGAGAGGUGAGUGGAACUGCGAGUGUAGAGGUGAAAUUCGUAGAUAUUCGCAAGAACACCAGUGGCGAAGGCGGCUCACUGGCCCGGAACUGACGCUGAGACGCGAAAGCGUGGGGAGCAAACAGG
This 253-nucleotide ribosomal RNA is filed under the name uncultured bacterium. RNAcentral's name for it is "partial 16S ribosomal RNA". It matches the Rfam family "Bacterial small subunit ribosomal RNA", at positions 524 to 776 of the family's 1533-position model. The record is from RNAcentral.